UACAAUGCGAUGAAGGACUGUCAUUCCCUCUCACGGAUGCAAAGUACAAAUUCUAUUUUUUCCCAAUUGUCUUGCUUAUUGCUCAACCCUCUCUUCUAUUUUUUCCCUCUUCAUCUUUUUCCAAGAUUCCCCUCACUGUUUGCUUUAUCUUCUCUCUUGUUUUUGUGUCCAUUUCUCUUUUUUUUUUUUUUUUUUGCCUUUUUUUUAUUUUUAGUUUUGGAAAAGGAGAUGAAAGAUUUAAGAUUUUGGGUUUAUUGAUAAAUUGCUCUUUUUUUUUCAUUCUAAUGACAUAUCUUUAUGAUUGUGGCCUUGUGGAUAUGGGCUUUUGUAGGUUGCAAUGGAGAAUUCCUACCUCUGAAAGUAUUUUGGGAUUUUUCCUUUAGGCUUUUGCUGUACUGGUUGUCUUUGUGCAGGGGUUUUUUGGUCAAUUUCUGUACAUGGGUACUCAUCUAUGCUGCAAAUUUUGCUCAUGUAUACAGCAGAACUUUGCCUUGACAAGUUCUACUCUGCUUCUCAUAUGCAAGGGGCCGACAUGGCAUAUGAGGUCAUGUAUCUCUUACCUUUGUUUAAGCCAAUGUUUGCUAGAAAAGAUGGGUGCAAGGAGGAAGGUGAGACAAAGCGAAGAAAAGAAAGAAAAAGAAGAAGAAGGAAAAAAAAAAAAGGAAAGUAGAGUUCUAUGCGUCAAAAAAAUUAAUUUUAUUUGUUGAAUAAAAUAAAAAAUAAUUAAAUGUAUAAUUGAUAAAUUAUAUAUAAAUUUUCAAAUAAAGAGCAUAUGAAUUAAUUAGAAAUGAUAAUCGGUUAUAUAAAUGUGUG
This 813-nucleotide long non-coding RNA is filed under the name Theobroma cacao (cacao). RNAcentral describes it as "long non-coding RNA (TCAC_LNC003731)". Lineage: Eukaryota; Viridiplantae; Streptophyta; Magnoliopsida; Malvales; Malvaceae. The record is from RNAcentral.